Molecule: ribosomal RNA, 893 nt
Filed under: uncultured beta proteobacterium
Lineage: Bacteria; Pseudomonadati; Pseudomonadota; Betaproteobacteria
Description: bacterial SSU rRNA
Rfam family: Bacterial small subunit ribosomal RNA
Source: RNAcentral
AGGGUUUGAUCCUGGCUCAGAUUGAACGCUGGCGGAAUGCUUUACACAUGCAAGUCGAACGGCAGCACGGGAGCUUGCUCCUGGUGGCGAGUGGCGAACGGGUGAGUAAUAUAUCGGAACAUGUCCAAUAAUGGGGGAUAACUAUCCGAAAGGAUAGCUAAUACCGCAUACGCCCUGAGGGGGAAAGCGGGGGAUCGUAAGACCUCGCGUUAAUGGAGUGGCCGAUAUCUGAUUAGCUAGUUGGUGAGGUAAAGGCUCACCAAGGCGACGAUCAGUAGCUGGUCUGAGAGGACGACCAGCCACACUGGAACUGAGACACGGUCCAGACUCCUACGGGAGGCAGCAGUGGGGAAUUUUGGACAAUGGGCGCAAGCCUGAUCCAGCCAUUCCGCGUGAGUGAAGAAGGCCUUCGGGUUGUAAAGCUCUUUCGCAAGGGAAGAAAACUUACCCAAUAACACUGGGUGAGGCUGACGGUACCUUGAUAAGAAGCACCGGCUAACUACGUGCCAGCAGCCGCGGUAAUACGUAGGGUGCGAGCGUUAAUCGGAAUUACUGGGCGUAAAGCGUGCGCAGGCGGUUUUGUAAGUCAGAUGUGAAAGCCCCGGGCUCAACCUGGGAACUGCGUUUGAAACUACAAGGCUAGAGUGUAGCAGAGGGGGGUAGAAUUCCACGUGUAGCAGUGAAAUGCGUAGAGAUGUGGAGGAAUACCAAUGGCGAAGGCAGCCCCCUGGGUUAACACUGACGCUCAUGCACGAAAGCGUGGGGAGCAAACAGGAUUAGAUACCCUGGUAGUCCACGCCCUAAACGAUGUCUACUAGUUGUUGGGAGAGUAAAAUCUCUUAGUAACGCAGCUAACGCGUGAAGUAGACCGCCUGGGGAGUACGGUCGCAAGA